This 21-nucleotide ribosomal RNA is filed under the name Diplodia italica. RNAcentral's name for it is "partial 28S ribosomal RNA". Lineage: Eukaryota; Fungi; Ascomycota; Dothideomycetes; Botryosphaeriales; Botryosphaeriaceae. The record is from RNAcentral.
GUGACCUCGGAUCAGUAGGAU